RNAcentral lists this transfer RNA (64 nucleotides) under Echinoparyphium aconiatum. RNAcentral's name for it is "tRNA-Ala". The record is from RNAcentral. Lineage: Eukaryota; Metazoa; Platyhelminthes; Trematoda; Plagiorchiida; Echinostomatidae.
AACGGUAUAGUUUAAGUUAAAGAUACAUGCUCUGCAAGCAUGUGGUGGAGGUUUCCUGCUGUUG